CUGGCUCAGGAUGAACGCUAGCGGCAGGCCUAACACAUGCAAGUCGAACGGUAACAGGGAAAAGCUUGCUUUUCUGCUGACGAGUGGCGCACGGGUGCGUAACGCGUAUGCAAUCUGCCUUGUACUGGAGUAUAGCCCAGGGAAACUUGGAUUAAUCCUCCAUAGUCUAU
Molecule: ribosomal RNA, 170 nt
Filed under: Leeuwenhoekiella marinoflava DSM 3653
Lineage: Bacteria; Pseudomonadati; Bacteroidota; Flavobacteriia; Flavobacteriales; Flavobacteriaceae
Description: 16S rRNA. Bacterial SSU
Rfam family: Bacterial small subunit ribosomal RNA
Source: RNAcentral